RNAcentral lists this ribosomal RNA (255 nucleotides) under Enterococcus hirae. Its description in RNAcentral is "partial 23S ribosomal RNA". It matches the Rfam family "Bacterial large subunit ribosomal RNA", at positions 1982 to 2236 of the family's 2925-position model. The record is from RNAcentral. Lineage: Bacteria; Bacillati; Bacillota; Bacilli; Lactobacillales; Enterococcaceae.
UCCGACCCGCACGAAAGGCGUAACGAUUUGGGCACUGUCUCAACGAGAGACUCGGUGAAAUUUUAGUACCUGUGAAGAUGCAGGUUACCCGCGACAGGACGGAAAGACCCCAUGGAGCUUUACUGUAAUUUGAUAUUGAGUGUCUGUACCGCAUGUACAGGAUAGGUAGGAGCCGUAGAAAUCGGAACGCUAGUUUCGAUGGAGGCGCUGGUGGGAUACUACCCCUGCGUUAUGGCCACUCUAACCCGCACCACU